Molecule: ribosomal RNA, 446 nt
Filed under: uncultured bacterium
Lineage: Bacteria
Description: partial 16S ribosomal RNA
Rfam family: Bacterial small subunit ribosomal RNA
Source: RNAcentral
CCUACGGGAGGCAGCAGUAGGGAAUUUUCGGCAAUGGGGGGAACCCUGACCGAGCAACGCCGCGUGAACGAAGAAGUUAUUCGUAAUGUAAAGUUCUUUUAACAGGGAAGGAAGAGAAAUUUGACGGUACCUGAAGAAUAAGCUCCGGCUAACUACGUGCCAUCAGCCGCGGUAAUACGUAGGGAGCGAGCGUUAUCCGGAAUUAUUGGGCGAAAAGGGUGCGUAGAUGGCAUAGUAAGUCUUUUGUAAAAAUGCUGGGCUCAACCCAGUAGGGCAAAAGAUACUGCAAAGCUAGAGUAUGACAGAGGCAAGUGGAACUACAUGUGUAGCGGUAAAAUGCGUAAAUAUAUGUAAGAACACCAGUGGCGAAGGCGGCUUGCUGGGUCGAUACUGACAUUGAGGCACGAAAGCGUGGGGAGCAAACAGGAUUAGAUACCCCUGUAGUC